RNAcentral lists this unclassified non-coding RNA (337 nucleotides) under soil metagenome. Its description in RNAcentral is "partial contains 5.8S ribosomal RNA, internal transcribed spacer 2, and large subunit ribosomal RNA". The stretch from base 1 to 120 matches the Rfam family "5.8S ribosomal RNA", at positions 35 to 154 of the family's 154-position model. The record is from RNAcentral.
GAUGAAGAACGUAGCGAAAUGCGAUAAGUAGUGUGAAUUGCAGAAUUCAGUGAUUCAUCGAAUCUUUGAACGCACAUUGCGCCCCAUGGUAUUCCGUGGGGCAUGCCUGUUCGAGCGUCAUUUACCCCCUCAAGCUCCGCUUGGUGUUGGGCGUCUGUCCCGCUUCGCGCGCGGACUCGCCCCAAAGGUAUUGGCAGCGGUCGUGCCAGCUUCUCGCGCAGCACAUUGCGCUUCUCGAGGCACCGGUGGGCCCGCGUCCAUCAAGCUCACCCCCCCAGUUUGACCUCGGAUCAGGUAGGGAUACCCGCUGAACUUAAGCAUAUCAAUAAGCGGAGGA